AUGAAAUCUUCACCGUUAAAUCGCCGUGGUUGUUAGCGGCGGCUAGGAGAGAUAGUGCUCUUUCUCUGAGAACUCCUGCCAUAGUAGACCUAGAAGGGAAAACUAGUUGUGAAACAAAAAUGGCGAUGGGGGUGAACUGGGGAGGUGUUAGGCUUUGAAAGGAGCAGGGAAUUUUAUUCCGGGAAGGGAAAGAACAGGAAACUGACGGGAGAAACAGCCGGAGCGGUGUGGU
Molecule: unclassified non-coding RNA, 232 nt
Filed under: Hevea brasiliensis (rubber tree)
Lineage: Eukaryota; Viridiplantae; Streptophyta; Magnoliopsida; Malpighiales; Euphorbiaceae
Source: RNAcentral